Molecule: unclassified non-coding RNA, 263 nt
Filed under: Hevea brasiliensis (rubber tree)
Lineage: Eukaryota; Viridiplantae; Streptophyta; Magnoliopsida; Malpighiales; Euphorbiaceae
Source: RNAcentral
GACGUCAAGGCUUUGAAUGAGAUUAAGGCGUCGCUCGGAUGGAGAGUUGUUUACGCUUGGGUCGGCGACGAUCCUUGCGGUGAUGGCGAUCUGCCCCCAUGGUCCGGUGUCACUUGCUCCACUCAAGGAGAUUAUAGAGUUGUCACUGAAUUGGAAGUUUAUGCCGUGUCAAUUGUUGGGCCGUUUCCUACUGCUGUUACCAAUCUGUUGGAUCUCACGAGGCUGGAUCUGCAUAACAACAAACUUACAGGGCCUAUUCCUCC